GGUCAGUUUAUGGAUGGAGUAUUAAACAUACGUGUCACGGCGAAUUCUCUUCCCCGGGUUGGCCUCAGUUUUACGGGCCUCGAGAAAGUAAAGCAUCGACUGAGAAGCAGAAAGUUUUGAGGCUGGAGGAGAGAGCCAGGUGCAGCUCAAGACAUGUGCUAAUUUAUGUUUUUCAGCUUUCAGGAUUUCUCUUGGAUCUCAUCCAAAAGCUCUCCCUGAGUCAGAGAGAUCCUUCACAGUGGGAGUCCCUACCCACAAGCCCCUGCUGCGCGUUUAAAUCGGAAGCCGGAGCAGCCACGGAGAGGAGACGAGGAGAGACAAAGCACGCCGUACGGAGAGAGUGGGACACAGAGGGUCUGAGCAGUGUCAGAAAAUCUGGCAGCAGCUGAGAUGAAGGCAGGACGUUUGAAGAUGAGGAAAGAUGUUUGAACCUGCACCCUCUUCUCAGUGUCCCAGUGGGGAGCGUAUAUGGGAAGGCAAGUCAUGUAUUAUUUAGAGUCAGAUCUUCUUUUCUGCUUGAUCAGGGCUUGAUUGAGAGAGGCUGUGACUGCGGUUUCUUUCCCCCGCGUAACAAUCUGCUCAG
Molecule: long non-coding RNA, 583 nt
Organism: Cottoperca gobio
Lineage: Eukaryota; Metazoa; Chordata; Actinopteri; Perciformes; Bovichtidae
Exons: 3
Source: RefSeq, a predicted model, not a curated record